UCUUAAUUAGUAUCAUCGAGGCAAUCAAGCAGCUGUUAAUGUGAAAAUUAGGAGUAAAGUUCUUAUGCGGAGUUCGGUUAUCAAUAAAGAUUGAAAAAAACUUAUCAAAUGCUCCGUGAUUGUGGUGAACAAAAAUAAAAAUAAAAUGCUCGUGAUUGUUUUUACGCGGAGUUCGGUUAUCAACCAAAUAUAUAGAAUUACUAUAGAUUACAGUUAAAUAAACAAAUAAGUUGGAACGAUUUCUUACUAUUCAAUCGUUCCAACUUCGUCUUAAACCGAGUGCAUGUAAUGCGGAUCUCUCUCUUCUACAAUCGUAUCUCGUUUUGUCAUUGAGUUUUCUUUGUAUAGCUUUAAUUCAUUGUCCAAAAAACUGCUUUGAUAUAUAUAUAUAUAUUUUUUUUGUUUAGAUGGUUCAUGAAUACAGCUGAAUCUUCAAUUUUUGAUUAUAGAUCUGAAGUUAUCCAUCUUUCUUUUCUUUUCCUAUUGUAAGCUUCGUUUGCAUCACUGCUUCAGUUUGCAUAAUACACAAAGUGAGUAGUGUUUAAUGCUUCUAUUUACACGAAUCAGUUAACUUCUCAGUCGGGUCUUUCCCCGAGAGAUUCCACGUGUUGUCUUUGUUUUCCUGAUCAGAAACGCAAGCCUAAGCUCUACCUGAUGCACGCCGCUUCCAAGGAGCUGAAAAUUCGUGCUACUUCCAGCGUUUCUGAACUUCAAAGGUCUACUCCAAGUAGCGAUGUUAACAUGACGGCAGAGUUUGAGUUGGAGUUGCAAGAGUUGUUCAAUGAUGUCAAAUCCAUGGUUAAGAUUGGGGUGAGAGUGACGCAAUGGACCUUCUCCGAGCUAAUUACGUUGCUGUCAAAGAAGAGAUCGAUUCGGGCUUGAAAGGUGUCGAACAAGGUGCUCUUCUGGACAUAAUUGCCUUAGGGUAUAUGGCUGAGACUUAAACCUCUUCCUGCAUUGCUUGAUAUGAUAAAUAAGAUUGUUGAUAAGUUAAGGGACAACAAAGACGAGAUUGACAUGUCAAUUCUUGUUGCUACUCGCUGGAUAGUACCCGCUGAUGCUGCAGGCUGCAGCUAGUGUUAUAGUGCUACUAAGCAUAUGGAGAAUCCGGCAGAGGAAUGCGUAGGAGGAGAAGAGCAUAUGGGUCGAAUCGUUUAGCCUAGCAUAUAGCCGUGUCUAGGAUCAGUCGAUUUUGCGUGGUAGAGCUUCAGCUACCCUACCCGUUAGCUUUUUUUUUACUGUCAUUUACACGACCACUGAAAUGUAAUUUCACUUUUACAUUUCUAGUAGGGCUGGGAAUUUUGUUUCAAGAUAUCAGUUUUCGUAAACCUCAUUUUAUGAAUAGAAAAAUAAG
Molecule: long non-coding RNA, 1354 nt
Organism: Brassica oleracea var. oleracea
Lineage: Eukaryota; Viridiplantae; Streptophyta; Magnoliopsida; Brassicales; Brassicaceae
Exons: 5
Source: RefSeq, a predicted model, not a curated record